AUUUAAAUAGCUUAAUUUUAGAGCAUAACGUUGAAGGUGUUGAGGUGGUAAAUUUACCUUUAAAUA
This 66-nucleotide transfer RNA is filed under the name Bolitaena pygmaea. Its description in RNAcentral is "tRNA-Phe". It matches the Rfam family "tRNA". Rfam says of the family: Transfer RNA (tRNA) molecules are approximately 80 nucleotides in length. Their secondary structure includes four short double-helical elements and three loops (D, anti-codon, and T loops). Lineage: Eukaryota; Metazoa; Mollusca; Cephalopoda; Octopoda; Bolitaenidae. The record is from RNAcentral.